UGGUCCCUAGGGAAGGUCUGCACCCCCGGAGGGUGGCGGCCAGGGAGGAGGGCUGGGAUUGGGACCGCUGCAGCGGGUGGCAGACGCUGUGGGCCUCUCCCCCACUCUUCCUCACUGCCUGCUCCUGAUCCCCGCCCUUCCUCCUCUCCAUCCUCCCCAUCUUCCUCCCGGUCCCUGGCAGCCGCGGUUAGGGGAGCAGCCUGCGGCACCGGGGCUGCUCAGCCUUUGUCUCUGGCCGCGGAGCGCGCCCGGGCCCAGCGCAGCAGGCCACGCGGGGACGGAGGAGGCUGCGAGGACCUGCAGUCAUGGAAAAACGGGAGAGGAGCCGGCCCAGCGUCACCACCAUCACCAUCACCACCACCACCACCACCACCACCACUACCAUCACUGACCGUCGCCCAUCCCACUACCCCUCUUCAUCCCCCAUCUCAUCUCCCCGCAUACUGCCAACUUUGUCAGACCAUUUCCUUUACAUCCGGUAAUACUUAGAUCGCGAGUGAGUGCA
Molecule: long non-coding RNA, 505 nt
Organism: Apodemus sylvaticus (European woodmouse)
Lineage: Eukaryota; Metazoa; Chordata; Mammalia; Rodentia; Muridae
Exons: 2
Source: RefSeq, a predicted model, not a curated record